UACGAAGGGUGCAAGCGUUACUCGGAAUUACUGGGCGUAAAGCGUGCGUAGGUGGUUUGUUAAGUCUGUUGUGAAAGCCCCGGGCUCAACCUGGGAAUGGCAAUGGAUACUGGCAGGCUAGAGUGCGGUAGAGGGUAGUGGAAUUCCCGGUGUAGCGGUGAAAUGCGUAGAGAUCGGGAGGAACAUCAGUUGCGAAGGCGGCUCUCUGGGACGGUGACUGACGCUGAGACGCGAAAGCGUGGGGAGCGAACAGG
RNAcentral lists this ribosomal RNA (254 nucleotides) under uncultured bacterium. RNAcentral describes it as "partial 16S ribosomal RNA". It matches the Rfam family "Bacterial small subunit ribosomal RNA", at positions 524 to 776 of the family's 1533-position model. The record is from RNAcentral.